CCUACGGGAGGCAGCAGUGGGGGAUAUUGCACAAUGGGGGGAACCCUGAUGCAGCGACGCCGCGUGGGUGAAGAAGCGCCUCGGCGCGUAAAGCCCUGUCAGCCGGGAAGAAACUGACGGUACCUGAAGAAGAAGCCCCGGCUAACUACGUGCCAGCAGCCGCGGUAAUACGUAGGGGGCAAGCGUUAUCCGGAUUUACUGGGGGUAAGGGGGGCGCAGACGGCGAUGCAAGCCAGGAGUGAAAGCCCGGGGCCCAACCCCGGGACUGCUCGUGGAACUGCGUGGCUGGAGUGCAGGAGGGGCAGGCGGAAUUCCUGGUGUAGCGGUGAAAUGCGUAGAUAUCAGGAGGAACACCGGUGGCGAAGGCGGCCUGCUGGACUGCAACUGACGUUGAGGCCCGAAAGCGUGGGGAGCAAACAGGAUUAGAUACCCGAGUAGUC
RNAcentral lists this ribosomal RNA (440 nucleotides) under uncultured bacterium. Its description in RNAcentral is "partial 16S ribosomal RNA". It matches the Rfam family "Bacterial small subunit ribosomal RNA", at positions 338 to 795 of the family's 1533-position model. The record is from RNAcentral.